GAUGAACGCUGGCGGCGUGCCUAAUACAUGCAAGUCGAGCGAACAGACGAGGAGCUUGCUCCUCUGACGUUAGCGGCGGACGGGUGAGUAACACGUGGAUAACCUACCUAUAAGACUGGGAUAACUUCGGGAAACCGGAGCUAAUACCGGAUAAUAUAUUGAACCGCAUGGUUCAAUAGUGAACGACGGUUUUGCUGUCACUUAUAGAUGGAUCCGCGCCGCAUUAGCUAGUUGGUAAGGUAACGGCUUACCAAGGCAACGAUGCGUAGCCGACCUGAGAGGGUGAUCGGCCACACUGGAACUGAGACACGGUCCAGACUCCUACGGGAGGCAGCAGUAGGGAAUCUUCCGCAAAGGGCGAAAGCCUGACGGAGCAACGCCGCGUGAGUGAUGAAGGUCUUCGGAUCGUAAAACUCUGUUAUUAGGGAAGAACAAAUGUGUAAGUAACUAUGCACGUCUUGACGGUACCUAAUCAGAAAGCCACGGCUAACUACGUG
Molecule: ribosomal RNA, 497 nt
Filed under: uncultured bacterium
Lineage: Bacteria
Description: partial 16S ribosomal RNA
Rfam family: Bacterial small subunit ribosomal RNA
Source: RNAcentral